ACGCAGCUGACGAGUCCCGAAUAGGACGAAACACGCGUCUUAGAU
RNAcentral lists this non-coding RNA (45 nucleotides) under Schistosoma haematobium. Lineage: Eukaryota; Metazoa; Platyhelminthes; Trematoda; Strigeidida; Schistosomatidae. The record is from RNAcentral.